CUCUGGACACAGGCCUUUUCCUGUGCCAUCACCACACAAUAAGGUACAUCUUUUGGUGGGACAGGCAUCCUUGCUUUGUUCCAGCUCUUUUUUUUUACAGACCUCACAAAGCUACCUGUGCCUGAAGCAGAUCUGCUCAAUUGACAAGUAAGAGGCAGUGUCAGAGCUCUUGAUAUAUCAAGUGAACAUCUGCAACAUAGGACUGAGAGAUACUUGCGUCUUGACUGCGCUGCUUUAGGUAACCUGCUGUUUUUGCUCCUCUGUGUCUGGAGGGGAGGGCUGCUGAAGACCCUAGUCUCUUCCAGGUACAUCUCAGUGCCACAAGAAAUGGAAUUUUGCAAGCCUUCAGGAAACUUAACGGCAAGUGAACUUCACACUCCACAAUUCAGUGAUCUUUUUCAGUACAAUCCUUUUGUGCUGACCUCUCCAUUUCCGUCCGCUUGAUCUCUUCACAGUUCUGUCCAAGAGCCCACCACACUCAGGGGAAGCCAGCUCCUCCUGCAGAAGUCAGACCAGCAGAAGGAACUUCCAGGCCCAUGAAUUCACACUUCAGAGGGACAAACAAAAAGG
Podarcis muralis (Common wall lizard) is the source of this 570-nucleotide non-coding RNA. NCBI's taxonomy places the organism in Eukaryota, Metazoa, Chordata, Lepidosauria, Squamata, Lacertidae. The record is from RefSeq and is a predicted model, not a curated record.